RNAcentral lists this long non-coding RNA (899 nucleotides) under Ananas comosus (pineapple). Its description in RNAcentral is "long non-coding RNA (ACOM_LNC022100)". Lineage: Eukaryota; Viridiplantae; Streptophyta; Magnoliopsida; Poales; Bromeliaceae. The record is from RNAcentral.
ACUGGGAGGGGAGACAUGUUUACAUGUUCUCACCUCCCCCACCAUUUUUCAGGUAUCGUGGGCGAUGAGUAGUGGGACGAGACGUGAGGUACGCGUGUAGCGGUCGAUAGAGCUUUCGACCCGGGUUAAUUCGGUUUACUUUCUUACCCUUCUUAUUUUGGCUGAUGAAUAGUUUAGUUGGUUUAUGUGGUUCAGUGUUUAUUUACAUUUGAAAAUGUGGAUUUCUGGAUUUUGUAAAAUAAAAGGUUUUCUACCCCUCGUGGUAGCGUUUUUAACGAAUAAAGGUUUCCGUGUAGGGAACAGUUUUCAAAAGAAUUUUCGUGAAUUUCUAUUUAAACACUGAAUGUAAAACUGUGACGUGAAUGGUGAAUGUAUGAAUGUAUAGUUAUCGUUAUAUUCAUUUGGUUGUGUUGGUUUCCUGGCUAUACUCUUGUACUUGUACGACGCCGUGCAAAUACAGGGGAGACUCUGUCCGUGUGAACAGUGGAUUCCCUGUAUUUGUGGCGGAUCUGGCAUACUCUGGGGUCAGGUUUUCAAAAAAAAAAAAAUUUCAGACGCUUUUCCGCUUUGUUUUAAACUGAAAAGGGACCCCGGGGCGUGACAAGCCUGUCCCCUAACAGCAUCACCAGCACCAUCGACAGCCUAAGCACAGCUAGGACCUCCGCAGUCUUACGGGGCACCACCGAGUUACGGUCAAGAGGACAGAGCAUCUAUGCCGUUUCAGGGCGAGCGGCGACAGCAGGCUCCGAGUGGUAGAGUCUACGCAGCCCAGGUGGAGGACUCUACAGCAGCUGAUCAAGUGGUGGCAGGUAUCAUUUUGAUUUCCGGCAUUAAAGCUCGUACUUUUUUCGAUACCGUUGCAUCACAUUCUUUUGUUAGCCGAGCAUUUAUAUUGUUGC